AGUGAACGCUGGCGGUAGGCCUAACACAUGCAAGUCGAACGGCAGCACAGUAAGAGCUUGCUCUUACGGGUGGCGAGUGGCGGACGGGUGAGGAAUACAUCGGAAUCUACUUUUUCGUGGGGGAUAACGUAGGGAAACUUACGCUAAUACCGCAUACGACCUACGGGUGAAAGCAGGGGAUCUUCGGACCUUGCGCGAUUGAAUGAGCCGAUGUCGGAUUAGCUAGUUGGCGGGGUAAAGGCCCACCAAGGCGACGAUCCGUAGCUGGUCUGAGAGGAUGAUCAGCCACACUGGAACUGAGACACGGUCCAGACUUCUACGGGAGGCAGCAGUGGGGAAUAUUGGGCAAUGGGCGCAAGCCUGAUCCAGCCAUACCGCGUGGGUGAAGAAGGCCUUCGGGUUGUAAAGCCCUUUUGUUGGGAAAGAAAAGCAGCAGGUUAAUACCCCGCUGUUCUGACGGUACCCAAAGAAUAAGCACCGGCUAACUUCGUG
This 492-nucleotide ribosomal RNA is filed under the name uncultured bacterium. RNAcentral's name for it is "partial 16S ribosomal RNA". It matches the Rfam family "Bacterial small subunit ribosomal RNA", at positions 29 to 507 of the family's 1533-position model. The record is from RNAcentral.